GUUCCUUUUCUUUAUCUUUUCACUCUUUAUCUCCCAUUUUUCCAGCAUCUAAUUCUUCCUCAUCGUUUAAAUUCUUGCCUAAUCAGCGUGGAAAUUAUCUUUGUUUCUUUACUUUUGUUCCAUCCAUCAUCAUCACUUGUCGGUUGAUUCACUUCUAAGACCAUGUUUGCCUCUAAUUGGAGGGGGAAGAAGUGAAGAAAGGCAUGUCCAUUAAGGAAAAAUUUAUCUAAUUCUGAUAUAUUAUGAACCAAGCAUUUUCG
RNAcentral lists this unclassified non-coding RNA (260 nucleotides) under Hevea brasiliensis (rubber tree). The record is from RNAcentral. Lineage: Eukaryota; Viridiplantae; Streptophyta; Magnoliopsida; Malpighiales; Euphorbiaceae.